This 227-nucleotide unclassified non-coding RNA is filed under the name Hevea brasiliensis (rubber tree). Lineage: Eukaryota; Viridiplantae; Streptophyta; Magnoliopsida; Malpighiales; Euphorbiaceae. The record is from RNAcentral.
AGGCCAUUAUUUACAGGCAAACAGAUACUUGCAGGUGUAACAACCGUAACGGCCGUUAUGUAACAGUAAUGGCCAUAACCGACUGAUAAAUAAUAACAACGGCCGUUACUGUAAAGAUUCCUCUACUAUUUUUUCAUAUGUGCAUAGUGUUUUGGUGCCCUUUUUCUUGUCUCUGCGUGCAACACUUCAAUAGCUGCUGUUUAGCUUCAAUUUCUCUCAAAUUUUCA